CGCCGUGAUGAAACCCGAGAUAGGGACAGCUUAUGCCGUUGGCAUAUGAUGCGAAUCCGGGCGAGUAUUUUAGUAGAUGCCUCGAUUUUCUGAUG
Molecule: small nucleolar RNA, 95 nt
Filed under: Ophiocordyceps unilateralis
Lineage: Eukaryota; Fungi; Ascomycota; Sordariomycetes; Hypocreales; Ophiocordycipitaceae
Description: A. fumigatus snoRNA Afu_335
Rfam family: A. fumigatus snoRNA Afu_335
Source: Rfam by way of RNAcentral